UACGAAGGGAGCUAGCGUUGUUCGGAAUCACUGGGCGUAAAGCGCACGUAGGCGGAUUUGUCAGUCAGGGGUGAAAUCCCGGGGCUCAACCUCGGAACUGCCUUUGAUACAGCAAGUCUUGAGUUCGAGAGAGGUGGGUGGAAUUCCUAGUGUAGAGGUGAAAUUCGUAGAUAUUGGGAAGAACACCGGUGGCGAAGGCGGCCAUCUGGACCGCAACUGACGCUGAGGCGCGAAAGCGUGGGGAGCAAACAGG
RNAcentral lists this ribosomal RNA (253 nucleotides) under uncultured bacterium. RNAcentral's name for it is "partial 16S ribosomal RNA". It matches the Rfam family "Bacterial small subunit ribosomal RNA", at positions 524 to 776 of the family's 1533-position model. The record is from RNAcentral.